Molecule: ribosomal RNA, 369 nt
Filed under: uncultured bacterium
Lineage: Bacteria
Description: partial 16S ribosomal RNA
Rfam family: Bacterial small subunit ribosomal RNA
Source: RNAcentral
CCUACGGGUGGCAGCAGUGGGGAAUAUUGCGCAAUGGGCGAAAGCCUGACGCAGCGACGCCGCGUGAGGGAUGAAGGUCUUCGGAUCGUAAACCUCUGUCAGCAGGGAAGAACGGUCACUGUGCUAAUCAGCAGUGAAUUGACGGUACCUGCAACAGAAGCACCGGCUAACUCCGUGCCAGCAGCCGCGGUAAUACGGAGGGUGCGAGCGUUAAUCGGAAUUACUGGGGGGAAAGCGCUCGUAGGCGGUAUGUCAAGUCAAGGGUGAAAUCCCCGCGCUCAAGGUGGGAACUGCCUUUGAAACUGGCAAACUGGAGGGUGUGAGAGGAUAGUGGAAUUCCAGGUGUAGAAGUGAAAUCCUUAGAUAUCU